Molecule: ribosomal RNA, 918 nt
Filed under: Triticum aestivum (bread wheat)
Lineage: Eukaryota; Viridiplantae; Streptophyta; Magnoliopsida; Poales; Poaceae
Description: partial small subunit ribosomal RNA
Source: RNAcentral
AUGGCCACUCACCCCAAUUUCCAUGCUAGUGCAUUCGAUGGGUCCGUGCAAAACACCGAAUUUAAGUUCAGUAGCUUGUACUGGCACCACAUUUAUUCUGGACCAAGCCCAAACCAAUCAGUUUUGAUAGGUGCAGAGGCUACCACUGGGUUGGGCCAGUCAGCAGUUAACGAUUGGACGAUUUAUGGUGGGGUUGGCUCCGACGCGGAGCUAGUGGCACGCGCACAAGGAUUGCAUCUCUACGCUGGUAGUUGGCACAAUACAUUCACCCUUCGUUUCGAGAUUGAAAGGCUUAAGAAAAGCACGCUUCAGGUAAUGGGAGCAUCUGUAGAGGAUGAAGGUGAGUGGUCUAUUGUCGGCGGGACAGGUGAUCUCGCGAUGGCACGUGGUGUUGUAGCCAAAAGGCUGCAUGAGAAAACAGAUGGUGGAGACAUAGUCGAGCUUACCAUACAUGGAUUCUGUCGCAUGCAACUGCCCAUUCUCAACAAGAGGGGCCCAUGGGGUGGCAAGCAGGGUUCCGCUGUUGGUUUGGAAAAACCCUCCAAGAUUGCAAGUAUCACCAUCCAUUAUCAAGAAAUAAUUAAUUCGUUUGAAUAUAUUUACGUCGACCAAUAUGGCAACAUUGGUAACACAAAUAUUUGGGGCACUAAGAGUCCCAAUCACGCAGAGAUCGUGCUCGGCCCUGAUGAGAUAGUGACGGGAAUGUCCGGAACUGUGAUCAAACAUAAUAAUCUCGAUGUUAUACAGACACUGAUGUUUACCACCAGCAAGAAAACAUACGGACCUUAUGGAAACACCACAAAUAUACAAGGUGGUACUACUUUCAGCACCGUCGUGCCAAAUGGCCAAGCAAUUGUCGGCUUCUUCGGGCAUACUGAUAUGAAAUGCCUGAACGGAAUUGGUGUCUAUAUGGCCUAG